Molecule: long non-coding RNA, 202 nt
Filed under: Elaeis guineensis (African oil palm)
Lineage: Eukaryota; Viridiplantae; Streptophyta; Magnoliopsida; Arecales; Arecaceae
Description: long non-coding RNA (EGUI_LNC061170)
Source: RNAcentral
CGAUGGAGUGACACUGGAGUGAGAGUGCAGAUGGUUGUUAAAGAAUAACUAGCACUGAGCGUGACCAACACAAGAAGUCACAUGAAUGUCUACUCACUUGUUAGUGAUUUUCUCGAUGCUGCAGUGGUGUGAUUGAUCUUUUGAUCUGAGAUGGUACUACUACUCACAGUAAGGCUGCUAGAGUUUGAUUGAUACAUAAAUA